GCGCAACCCUUACGUCCUUAGUUACCUAGCACGUUAUGUGGGCGACUCUAAGAGAACUGCCGGUGACAACCGGAGGAAGGUGGGGAUGACGUCAAGUCAUCAUGGCCCUUACGGCCUGGGCUACACACGUGCUACAAUGGUCGGUACAAAGGGUUGCCAAGCCGCGAGGUGGAGCUAAUCCCAUAAAACCGAUCGUAGUCCGGAUCGCAGUCUGCAACUCGACUGCGUGAAGUCGGAAUCGCUAGUAAUCGUGAAUCAGAAUGUCACGGUGAAUACGUUCCCGGGCCUU
RNAcentral lists this ribosomal RNA (289 nucleotides) under uncultured Pseudomonas sp. RNAcentral's name for it is "partial 16S ribosomal RNA". It matches the Rfam family "Bacterial small subunit ribosomal RNA", at positions 1096 to 1382 of the family's 1533-position model. Lineage: Bacteria; Pseudomonadati; Pseudomonadota; Gammaproteobacteria; Pseudomonadales; Pseudomonadaceae. The record is from RNAcentral.